GUACUUUACUUGAUCUCGUCACUAUAUGGCUGGAAGAAUGCCGAUAUGACGUAAAUCUCAACUCAACUCAACAACAACUUAGCUUACAACUGCUUAAAUAUCUUAUGCAGCCUGAAAUGAGAGAUUUGAUUAUUUAUAAAUCAGUGAAGAUGACUAAUCCAUACAUCUGAAAUUAAUCCAAUAAAUAGGUAACAGUUUCUGUUUUUCCUUGAAAUAAACAAAUAACAUUAUUUAAACAUAUUAAAGUAAAACAGGUCAAUGAUAAAACAUGAUCACUAUUUACAGAACUUGAACUAUGCCACUCCUUCACACCCAUAAUGAAAACUAAUAUCAAAUGCUGACAUUAAUACUAAUGCUAAUACCAACACUAAUACUUACUUAAAUCUCCUUACUUACAACUAUACAUCCUGAACAUUGCAAGUAUUGAGGUGUGUGAGUAGUAAGGUGAGUAUUAAGGUAGGCAAACAAUUACAUUGCAGGCAAAGGUCUUCCCGUGUAAAACAUUGUGGUGGACAGAGUUCCUGUGGGCAUAGUUCCUGUGGGCAUAGUUCCUGUGUGAAAAGUUCCUGUGGGCAUAGUUCCUGUGUGAAAAGCUCCAGUGGGCAUAGAUCAUGUGGGCAUAGUUCCUGCGGGCAAAGAUCCUGUGGGCAUACUUCCUGUGUGAAAAGUUCCUGUGGGCAUAGAUCCUGUGGGCAUAGUUCCUGUGUCAAAAGUUCCUGUUGGCAUAGUUCCUGUGUCAAAAGUUCAUGUGGGCAUAGUUCCUGUGUCAAAAGUUCAUGUGUGAAAAGCUACAGUGGGCAUAGUUCCUGGGGGCAUAGUUCCUGGGGGUAUAGUUCCUGGGGGCAUAGUUCCUGGGGGCAUAGAUCCUGUGGGCAUAGUUCCUGUGUGAAAAGCUCCAGUGGGCAUAGAUCAUGUGGGCAUAGUUCCUGCGGGCAUAGAUCCUGUGGGCAUAGUUCCUGUGUGAAAAGUUCCUGUGGGCAUAGAUCCUGUGGGCAUAGUUCCUGUGUCAAAAGUUCCUGUGGGCAUAGUUCCUGUGUCAAAAGUUCAUGUGGGCAUAGUUCCUGUGUCAAAAGUUCAUGUGUGAAAAGCUACAGUGGGCAUAGUUCCUGGGGCAUAGUUCCUGGGGGCAUAAUUCCUGGGGGUAUAGUUCCUGGGGCAUAGUUCCUGGGGGCAUAGAUCCUGCGGCAUAGGUCCUGUGGGAAAAGUUCCUGGG
Haliotis rubra (blacklip abalone) is the source of this 1213-nucleotide long non-coding RNA. RefSeq lists it as uncharacterized. The transcript is spliced from 2 exons. NCBI's taxonomy places the organism in Eukaryota, Metazoa, Mollusca, Gastropoda, Lepetellida, Haliotidae. The record is from RefSeq and is a predicted model, not a curated record.